AAACGCUGGCGGCGUGCUAAUACAUGCAGUCGAACGAGAUCCCGGAGCUUGCUCCGGGGGACAGUGGCGAACGGGUGAGUACACGUGAGAAACCUACCCUAGAGACGGGGACAACAUUUGGAAACGAAUGCUAAUACCGGAUAGUAUACGACAUCGCAUGAUGAUGUAUUUAAAGGUGCGUUUGCACCACUCUAGGAGGGUCCUGCUUCGUAUUAGAUAGUUGGUGAGGUAGUGGCUCACCAAGUCAACGAUGCGUAGCCGAGCUGAGAGGCUGAUCGGCCACACUGGGACUGAGACACGGCCCAGACUCCUACGGGAGGCAGCAGUUAGGAAUAUUCGGCAAUGGGGGCAACCCUGACCGAGCAAUGCCGCGUGAACGAAGAAGUAUUUCGAUAUGUAAAGUUCUGUUGUUGAGGAAGAACUGUAGUGAUAGGAAAUGAUCAUUAUUUGACGGUACUCAACCAGAAAGGUCCGGCUAACUACGUGCCAGCAGCCGCGGUAAUACGUAGGGACCAAGCGUUAUCCGGAAUUAUUGGGCGUAAAGCGUGCGUAGGCGGUUUACUAAGUCAAAUCUGAAAGCCCACAGCUUAACUGUGGAGGGUGA
RNAcentral lists this ribosomal RNA (604 nucleotides) under uncultured bacterium. RNAcentral describes it as "bacterial SSU rRNA". It matches the Rfam family "Bacterial small subunit ribosomal RNA", at positions 31 to 625 of the family's 1533-position model. The record is from RNAcentral.